Molecule: long non-coding RNA, 956 nt
Filed under: Mytilus galloprovincialis (Mediterranean mussel)
Lineage: Eukaryota; Metazoa; Mollusca; Bivalvia; Mytilida; Mytilidae
Source: RNAcentral
AAGGAGAUGUGGUAAAUACGUCAAAGAUGAAUAAAAGGAGAUGUGGUAAAUACGUCAAUGAUAAAUAAAAGGAGAUGUGGUAAAUACGUCAGUGAUGAAUAGAAGGAGAUGUGGUAAAUACGUCAAUGAUGAAUAAAAGGAGAUGUGGUAAAUACUUCAAUGAUGAAUAAAAGCAGAUGUGGUAAACACGUCAAAGAUGAAUAAAAGGAGAUGUGGUAAAUGCGUUAAUGAUGAGUAAAAGGGGAUGUGGUAAACACGUCAAAGAUGACAUAAAGGAGAUGUGGUAAAUACGUAAAUGAUGAAUAGAAGGAGAUAUGGUAAAUGCGUCAAUGAAUAAAAGGAGAUGUAGUAAAUACGUCAAUGAAUAAAGGGAGAUGUGGUAAAUAAUUCAAUGAUGAAUAAAAGGAGAUCUGGUAAAUACGUCAAUGAUAAAUAAAAGGAGAUGUGGUAUAUACGUCAAUGAUGAAUAGAAGGAGAUGUGCUAAAUAAGUCAAUGAUAAAUAAAAUGAGAUGUGGUAAAUAUGUCAAUGAUGAAUAAAAGUAGAUGUGGUAAAUACGUCCAUGAAAGGACAAUCAAAUGGUUAGACACCUUGCCCAUUAUUCUGUCAUAUUUUUUUUGAAACUAUCGACUUUUCUAACUUGCAUUGUUUUGUUAGUUUACUGUUGUUUUUUGCAAUAUUUUCUUUUUUCUUUUUAUGCUCCAAUAUUCAACUAAUUUCUAUAUUACUAAUGAUUAUUGCUCCUCCCUCUAAAGAUACGCAACCAUCCACAAUCGCCACAGCGUGCAAUGAAUAAAUAGUAUGUGUCCUAUGCAUUGAAAAAGAGUAGCAAUAGCUGACGAAAGCAGUAGGAACGUCAACGUUGGAAAUCGGAAACUAUCGAUGACGUCGUAAUAUUGUUACGUUUGUAACGUCUUGGCAAUUUUGAAUUUUGGUCUUGGCAUUGAAAGGGUUAAU